Molecule: transfer RNA, 67 nt
Filed under: Synapturanus sp. MZUSP 159221
Lineage: Eukaryota; Metazoa; Chordata; Amphibia; Anura; Microhylidae
Description: tRNA-Gly
Source: RNAcentral
AUUUUCUUAGUACAAGUAGUACUGUUGGCUUCCAACCAUCUAACCCCAGAUAACCUGGGAGAAAAUA